AGACGUCUACAUUAGAUACCCGUGUAGUCCCAGCCGUAAACUAUGCGCGUUAGGUGUAUCGGUGACCACGAGUUACCGAGGUGCCGAAGGGAAACCGUGAAACGUGCCGCCUGGGAAGUACGGUCGCAAGGCUGAAACUUAGAGGAAUUGGCGGGGAGCACCACAACAGGUGGAGCCUGCGGUUUAAUUGGACUCAACGCCGGGAAGCUCACCGGAUAGGACAGCAGAAUGAUUGCCGGGCUGAAGACCCUGCAUGACUAGCUG
This 264-nucleotide ribosomal RNA is filed under the name uncultured archaeon. RNAcentral's name for it is "partial 16S ribosomal RNA". It matches the Rfam family "Archaeal small subunit ribosomal RNA", at positions 717 to 982 of the family's 1478-position model. The record is from RNAcentral.